GUUUAAGUAGCUUAAUUCUAAAGCACUAGUCUUGUAAGCUAAAAAUAGAGAUUAACACCUCUCUUGAACU
This 70-nucleotide transfer RNA is filed under the name Crotaphatrema lamottei. Its description in RNAcentral is "tRNA-Thr". It matches the Rfam family "tRNA". Rfam says of the family: Transfer RNA (tRNA) molecules are approximately 80 nucleotides in length. Their secondary structure includes four short double-helical elements and three loops (D, anti-codon, and T loops). Lineage: Eukaryota; Metazoa; Chordata; Amphibia; Gymnophiona; Scolecomorphidae. The record is from RNAcentral.